Long non-coding RNA from Carassius carassius (crucian carp), 1256 nucleotides. RefSeq lists it as uncharacterized. The record is from RefSeq and is a predicted model, not a curated record. NCBI's taxonomy places the organism in Eukaryota, Metazoa, Chordata, Actinopteri, Cypriniformes, Cyprinidae. The transcript is spliced from 2 exons.
CAAAACACUGUCAUUGAUUUGAUCUCGUGCAGUCCUUUGUUGCAAUGAAUGACAAAUCUUUCUUCCCAGUUCUCGAGCACCGGCAUUCCUCUCGCUCCAUUCGUCCUGUCCGUUAUGCGUGAUAAUUGCCUUGCUUUCAUAAAUUGUUGCUUAUUAAGAGCAGCAUGGCAUCUUUUAUUUUUAUGUCUUGAUUUUUAGUCGAUGGUGAUUUUAUGGUUAUGCAUUUACACACUGAAGGGCGUGGCAUGAUGGAACUACAGACAAAGCCAUAAAACAAAGGUGAGCGUCAUGGACAGGUGCUGCAAGGGAAAAAAAUAGCACCUAAUGCAUCCUUUAUGCAUAAUGCAUACAUCCAUAUUUAUUUAAUCGAAAAGUGGGCUUGCCUCAUAAGUUAAUGUGACAGAUCUACAGUAUAUGAAGAUGGAGCUCCAGUUGCAUGAACAAAGACAUGGAUUCCAAUCCCAAUAUAUUUAUGUCUACAGAUGCACAAAACCCAGCCCAGCGCUAGGCCUCAUUCUGAGCUAAAUUCUGGCUUUGGGAAUCCACAUUUCGCUUUGUCUCAUUGACAUACUACAAAGUAGCCGAAUCCAUUGGAUUUGCUUGAGAGCCUCUGACUUGGUUUGUGAUGAAUGUUUUUUUUUAUGUCUGAAUACAAUCAUACACAUUACUGUGAUAUUUAAAUAAUAAUAAGGGAGAGAAAAAUAGAAGCACACACAUUUGAACCCGUGAAAUGUCAUCUGAAUCCCACAGGUUAUUUGUAUAAUUAUGUGCUCUGACAGGAGAGCUCGUCCAUUAUAUUGCUAGUCUCAGCAAUGUUUCGGUCCAAUUAGGUUGAUGUUUAGAAUGCACAUCUUAAAUCACAACUGCCCUCAGCAAAAACUGAAGACAAAUGUUUGUACCUAAGAGGAUAACCAUGUACACUGACAAAUUACGUAAGCUAAUAUGAACAGGUUGUGGACUUUUUUCAGAGCAGCAUGGACAAAGGUUGGCUUAAAUUUGAUUUUGUUAAAUGAUUAGGUUUGUGAGAAUAUUGUGUGUCUAUAAUGGCUGUUUUUUUUUCCAGUCACGUGUACAUCAUCUCAUUGAGCAGUGAAAAGAAUAAUAUUUGAUGCAAAAGUUACCGGUCAUUAUCGCAAAAUAAACUGGCUGAUUAGGAUGCUGAUGUAGAGUGACUAAUUAAAUAAACAAACUGACAUGAAAUACAUACAUACACUACCCUUCAAAAGUUUUGGAGAAUUUUUUUUCAGUAAUUUUUU